CAAGUAAGGGGCGAGCGUUGUUCGGAAUUAUUGGGCGUAAAGGGCGCGUAGGCGGUCCUGUAAGCCCGGCGUGAAAACCUGGAGCUCAACUCCGGGCCUGCGCUGGGAACUGCGGGACUAGAGUCAUGGAAGGGAAGUUGGAAUUCCAGGUGUAGGGGUGAAAGCUGUAGAUAUCUGGAAGAACACCGGUGUCGAAGGCGAACUUCUGGCCAAUGACUGACGCUGAGGCGCGAAAGUGCGGGGAGCAAACAGG
This 253-nucleotide ribosomal RNA is filed under the name uncultured bacterium. RNAcentral describes it as "partial 16S ribosomal RNA". It matches the Rfam family "Bacterial small subunit ribosomal RNA", at positions 524 to 776 of the family's 1533-position model. The record is from RNAcentral.